Molecule: ribosomal RNA, 85 nt
Filed under: Staphylococcus aureus
Lineage: Bacteria; Bacillati; Bacillota; Bacilli; Caryophanales; Staphylococcaceae
Description: partial 23S ribosomal RNA
Rfam family: Eukaryotic large subunit ribosomal RNA
Source: RNAcentral
CUGAGAGACCGAUAGCGCACAAGUAGUGUGAACGACAGGUGAAAAGCACCCUGCAAAGGGAGUUCAAAGAACGUGAAACCGUUAG